This 472-nucleotide ribosomal RNA is filed under the name uncultured bacterium. RNAcentral describes it as "bacterial SSU rRNA". It matches the Rfam family "Bacterial small subunit ribosomal RNA", at positions 355 to 825 of the family's 1533-position model. The record is from RNAcentral.
UGGGGAAUCUUGGACAAUGGGCGCAAGCCUGAUCCAGCCAUGCCGCGUGAGUGAAGAAGGCCUUCGGGUUGUAAACCGCUUUUGUCAGGGAAGAAACGCUCUGGGCUAAUACCCUGGGGUAAUGACGGUACCUGAAGAAUAAGCACCGGCUAACUACGUGCCAGCAGCCGCGGUAAUACGUAGGGUGCAAGCGUUAAUCGGAAUUACUGGGCGUAAAGCGUGCGCAGGCGGUUAUGCAAGACAGAUGUGAAAUCCCCGGGCUCAACCUGGGAACUGCAUUUGUGACUGUAUAGCUAGAGUACGGUAGAGGGGGAUGGAAUUCCGCGUGUAGCAGUGAAAUGCGUAGAUAUGCGGAGGAACACCGAUGGCGAAGGCAAUCCCCUGGACCUGUACUGACGCUCAUGCACGAAAGCGUGGGGAGCAAACAGGAUUAGAUACCCCUGUAGUCCCUGAGCGGGCUGGCAAGGCGCAU